Cydia splendana is the source of this 659-nucleotide long non-coding RNA. RefSeq lists it as uncharacterized. Lineage: Eukaryota; Metazoa; Arthropoda; Insecta; Lepidoptera; Tortricidae. The transcript has 3 exons. The record is from RefSeq and is a predicted model, not a curated record.
AGGCCUUUAUAAUUUAAAAAAUAAGAUAUUUUCAAUAGGGGCCACAGUAGCCUCAAAGUAGUUGGACGAAGUUUUCUGACAUGUUUUAAAGACUAAAAGUCUGCCUUAAAACAUCAACAGGGACAUGUUAUUAGAUUCUACGAUUUUAAAUUUUACCUUAAGAUAGCAGUAUAAUUUUGUUACACACGUAGAAUUUAAUAAUUUGCACAAUGAUGCUUGCUUGCUUGUGACCAGUAUGCUGAUUUCAGGACGCAUUAUAGGUGCUCAAAAAUAAAGCACUAAUAGACGGGCUAUCGGACCGCGACCUUAUUACGGUCCAACGCCUGUUCGAUCGAGUGGAAGGUGGUUCGACGUCCGUCCGUUAAGGACGCAGUUAUGAGUGAAAGCGAGAAAGAGAUAAGCUUACCGGACCAAGGUCGCGUCUGUUAGCACUAUUCAAGAAAUCCGUGAUACUAUUCAAACGUAAACUUUUUCGGAUUGGCUGUUACAGAGGGUAUGGACCUGAUUGGCGGAUUUAAGAGGGAUACGUUCAAGUAGUAUCAUUCGGUCUUAAUCUUUCGCUCAGAAACCACGACAUGAGUUUGUGACGGCGCAUAUUCCGUCCAACCUGGCAACCCCAACCCGAACUCGCCGGACAAUAUAUUUAUGAAAUAAUUUGU